CAGAGUAGGAGCCGGCGCGUUUAAGUGUUUCACGGACGGGGAGUUGCCGCGAAAACGAAGGUUUUCCGCGAUGCCGGUUUCGCAUCCCGCUGU
This 93-nucleotide non-coding RNA is filed under the name uncultured Ruminococcus sp. Its description in RNAcentral is "THF riboswitch". It matches the Rfam family "THF (Tetrahydrofolate) riboswitch aptamer". Rfam says of the family: THF riboswitch presents a pseudoknot that joins P1-P2 and the loop of P3 and two THF binding. The record is from RNAcentral. Lineage: Bacteria; Bacillati; Bacillota; Clostridia; Eubacteriales; Oscillospiraceae.